UACGGAGGGUGUAAGCGUUAUCCGGAUUCACUGGGUUUAAAGGGAGCGUAGGUGGGCUUUUAAGUCAGUGGUGAAAUCUUUGGGGCUUAACCCGAAACUAGCCAUUGAUACUAUUAGUCUUGAAUUCUCUGGAGGUAAGCGGAAUAUGUCAUGUAGCGGUGAAAUGCUUAGAUAUGACAUAGAACACCCAUUGCGAAGGCAGCUUACUACGGAGACAUUGACACUGAGGCUCGAAAGCGUGGGGAUCAAACAGGAUUAGAAACCCGGGUAGU
This 272-nucleotide ribosomal RNA is filed under the name uncultured bacterium. RNAcentral's name for it is "partial 16S ribosomal RNA". It matches the Rfam family "Bacterial small subunit ribosomal RNA", at positions 524 to 794 of the family's 1533-position model. The record is from RNAcentral.